CCCUUAGAUGUCCGGGACUGCACGCGCGCUACACUGAAGGAAUCAGCGUGCUAAAACCAUUGUCGAAAGGCAUUGGUAAACCCAUUAAAAUCCUACGUGAUUGGGAUCGGGAAUUGCAAUUAUUUCCCUUGAACGAGGAAUUCCCAGUAAGUGUGGGUCAUAAGCUCGCGUUGAUUACGUCCCUGCCCUUUGUACACACCGCCCGUCGCUGCCCGGGACUGAGCCGUUUCGAGAAAAGCGGGGACUGCUGCUGUCGGGGCUUUCGGGCCUUGGCUUCGGUGGAAACCGCUUUAAUCGCAGUGGCUUGAACCGGGCAAAAGUCGUANCA
Molecule: ribosomal RNA, 328 nt
Filed under: uncultured eukaryote
Lineage: Eukaryota
Description: partial 18S ribosomal RNA
Rfam family: Eukaryotic small subunit ribosomal RNA
Source: RNAcentral